UUUCCGUAGGUGAACCUGCGGAAGGAUCAUUAUUGAAUAAACCUGAUGUGGUUGUAGCUGGCCCUUUCGGGAGCAUGUGCACACCCGUCGUCUUUAUCUUUCCACCUGUGCACCUUUUGUAGACCUGGAUGUAACACUUUCCGAGGCUACUCGGUCGGGAGGAAUGCUGUCAGCUUUCCUUGAAUGUCCAGGCCUAUGUUUUCAUAUACCCCAAAGAAUGUAACAGAAUGUAUUAUUGGGCCUUGUGCCUAUAAACUAUAUACAACUUUCAGCAACGGAUCUCUUGGCUCUC
Molecule: unclassified non-coding RNA, 292 nt
Filed under: plant metagenome
Description: partial contains small subunit ribosomal RNA, internal transcribed spacer 1, and 5.8S ribosomal RNA
Source: RNAcentral